RNAcentral lists this ribosomal RNA (913 nucleotides) under uncultured archaeon. RNAcentral describes it as "bacterial SSU rRNA". It matches the Rfam family "Archaeal small subunit ribosomal RNA", at positions 1 to 913 of the family's 1478-position model. The record is from RNAcentral.
GCCGCUGCAGAUCUGGUUGAUUCUGCCGGACCCGACUGCUAUCAGAGAGGGACUAAGCCAUGCGAGUCAACAUAGCAAUAUGUGGCAUACGGCUCAGUAACACGUAGUCAACAUGCCCAGGGGACGUGGAUAACCUCGGGAAACUGAGGAUAAACCGCGAUAAGUCACUACUUCUGGAAUGGGUAAUGACUUAAAUCUAUAUGGCCCCUGGAUUGGACUGCGGCCGAUCAGGCUGUUGGUGAGGUAAUGGCCCACCAAACCUGUAACCGGUACGGGCUCUGAGAGGAGGAGCCCGGAGAUGGGCACUGAGACAAGGGCCCAGGCCCUAUGGGGCGCAGCAGGCGCGAAACCUCUGCAAUAGGCGAAAGCCUGACAGGGUUACUCUGAGUGAUUUCCGUUAAGGAGAUCUUUUGGCACCUCUAAAAAUGGUGCAGAAUAAGGGGUGGGCAAGCCUGGUGUCAGCCGCCGCGGUAAUACCAGCACCCCGAGUGGUCGGGACGAUUAUUGGGCCUAAAGCAUCCGUAGCCGGCCUUACAAGUCCUCCGUUAAAUCCAGCUGCUUAACAGAUGGGCUGCGGAGGAUACUAUAAGACUAGGAGGCAGGAGAGGCAAGCGGUACUCAGUGGGUAGGGGUAAAAUCCGUUGAUCCAUUGAAGACCACCAGUGGCGAAGGCGGCUUGCCAGAAUGCGCUCGACGGUGAGGGAUGAAAGCUGGGGGAGCAAACCGGAUUAGAUACCCGGGUAGUCCCAGCCGUAAACGAUGCAGACUCGGUGAUGGACUAGCUUUAUGCUGGUCCAGUGCCGCAGGGAAGCCGUUAAGUCUGCCGCCUGGGUAGUACGGUCGCAAGACUGAAACUUAAAGGAAUUGGCGGGGGAGCACCACAAGGGGUGAAGCCUGCUGUUCAAUUGGAUCC